GGGAUGACAUCAAAGAAACUACAUCCAACACAAAUAUGGUCUCCCUCUUUAUCAUAAUUAAAUUAAAUUAUUAUUGGGAACGUUUUUUAAAUUUUUUAUAGGAUUUUUUCGAAAUAUUAAAUUCUUAAAAUUAAUCUACUUUUGAAGUAAAAUCUUUUUCCUUAAUUGUUGUAACUGCAAGUUCAUGGGCUUAUUGGUCUCCUUAAUAAACUGUCUAACCAUUAUAAUUUUCAUUAUUUUAAAACAUAUAUACUCCUCCUUUUCUUUUUCAUAGCUUAAACCUGCGAAUUCUUCCAUCUCCGCCUCGCACGACAACCUCCGCCACACCUCCUCACCACCGCGCGAUCUACCACCAUAAUCCGCAAAAUCUUCAUGUCUGCUAUUCCAGCCAUUGUCCUCCUUCCCAUUCGUCUCUCACUUUGGAAGCAAAGAAAGCAAGAGCUGAAAGAGUUUGACACAGAGAACUUGAAGAGGGAGAAAGACGACAACGGCGGCGAAAGAUUAAAAAAUGGAUGAUUACACCAGAGAAAUGAUGGACCUUAAAACCAUCGUCACCCGUACCCUUGAGAAGAAAGGGGUUCUCGCUAAGAUCUGAACUGGAGAACCCAAAGGCUACACAAGCUAGAUGAUAUGAAGAAUCCAAUGAAGGUUGUACAGGAUCAUAUGAAGAAUACAACGUUGACGAAUAAGAUCCAAAAGUUGUCCAGUUCUGAAAUUGUACAAGUUAAAUGAUUUGGAACCAAAUUGAUCUACUCUUAGUAACAACGAUAUAACUUGGGCAUUUGAUGUUUUUUGCAUUGUCCAACUAUGUCAUUGCCUUUGUAAAAUAAUAGCUAUAUUAUAUUUUGUAAUAUAUUUUGAGCAAUAUUCUAGCAAACAAUACUUUACCAAAUUAAUUAUAUUGUAAUUAGCUUGAUUGGAGAAUAUAACGGAACAGCAUUGUAAAUAUCUUUGUAAUAUAUUUUGAGCUAUAUUCUAGCAAAUAAUACGUUACCAAAUUAA
Spinacia oleracea (spinach) is the source of this 1002-nucleotide long non-coding RNA. RefSeq lists it as uncharacterized. The transcript is spliced from 2 exons. Lineage: Eukaryota; Viridiplantae; Streptophyta; Magnoliopsida; Caryophyllales; Amaranthaceae. The record is from RefSeq and is a predicted model, not a curated record.